UACGUAGGGUGCAAGCGUUGUCCGGAAUUAUUGGGCGUAAAGAGCGUGUAGGCGGCUUGGUAGGUCCGCUGUGAAAACUCGAGGCUCAACCUCGAGAUGUCGGCGGAAACCACUUGGCUAGAGUCCGGAAGAGGAGAGUGGAAUUCCUGGUGUAGCGGUGAAAUGCGCAGAUAUCAGGAAGAACACCUAUGGCGAAGGCAGCUCUCUGGGACGGUACUGACGCUGAGACGCGAAAGCGUGGGGAGCGAACAGG
RNAcentral lists this ribosomal RNA (253 nucleotides) under uncultured bacterium. RNAcentral's name for it is "partial 16S ribosomal RNA". It matches the Rfam family "Bacterial small subunit ribosomal RNA", at positions 524 to 776 of the family's 1533-position model. The record is from RNAcentral.